RNAcentral lists this unclassified non-coding RNA (173 nucleotides) under uncultured Geomyces. RNAcentral describes it as "sequence contains ITS1". The record is from RNAcentral. Lineage: Eukaryota; Fungi; Ascomycota; Leotiomycetes; Myxotrichaceae.
CAGUAGUCACCCGGGGCGCCGCAAGGCCUCCCGGGUAACCUACCACCCUUUGUUUAUUACACUUUGUUGCUUUGGCAGGCCUGCCCUCGGGCUGCUGGCUCCGGCCGGCGAGCGCUUGCCAGAGGACCCCAAACUCUGAAUGUUAGUGUCGUCUGAGUACUAUACAAUAGUUA